Molecule: ribosomal RNA, 589 nt
Filed under: Bacteroides sp.
Lineage: Bacteria; Pseudomonadati; Bacteroidota; Bacteroidia; Bacteroidales; Bacteroidaceae
Description: bacterial SSU rRNA
Rfam family: Bacterial small subunit ribosomal RNA
Source: RNAcentral
GAUGGCGACCGGCGCACGGGUGAGUAACACGUAUCCAACCUGCCGAUAACUCGGGGAUAGCCUUUCGAAAGGAAAGAUUAAUAUCCGAUGGUAUAUGAAAAUCGCAUGAUAUUACUAUUAAAGAAUUUCGGUUAUCGAUGGGGAUGCGUUCCAUUAGUUUGUUGGCGGGGUAACGGCCCACCAAAGACUACGAUGGAUAGGGGUUCUGAGAGGAAGGUCCCCCACAUUGGAACUGAGACACGGUCCAAACUCCUACGGGAGGCAGCAGUGAGGAAUAUUGGUCAAUGGACGAGAGUCUGAACCAGCCAAGUAGCGUGAAGGAUGACUGCCCUAUGGGUUGUAAACUUCUUUUAUAUGGGAAUAAAGUAUUCCACGUGUGGAAUUUUGUAUGUACCAUAUGAAUAAGGAUCGGCUAACUCCGUGCCAGCAGCCGCGGUAAUACGGAGGAUCCGAGCGUUAUCCGGAUUUAUUGGGUUUAAAGGGAGCGUAGGUGGAUUGUUAAGUCAGUUGUGAAAGUUUGCGGCUCAACCGUAAAAUUGCAGUUGAAACUGGCAGUCUUGGAGUACAGUAGGAGGUGGGCGGAAUCGUG